UCUCGGCUUAUCACCGGCAGUCCCCUUAGAGUGCCCAACUGAAUGAUGGCAACUAAGGGCGAGGGUUGCGCUCGUUGCGGGACUUAACCCAACAUCUCACGACACGAGCUGACGACAGCCAUGCAGCACCUGAACCGGCAGUCCCCGAAGGGAAAAUCCUAUCUCUAGGACAGGCCGCCGUUGUCUAGCCCAGGUAAGGUUCUUCGCGUUGCGUCGAAUUGAACCACACGCUCCGCUGCUUGUGCGGGCCCCCGCCUAUUCCUUUGAGUUUUAACCUUGCGGCCGUAGUCCCCAGGCGGUGAACUUAAUGCGUUAGCUGCGGCACUGAUCGGGUCAAUCCGACCAACACCUAGUUCACAACGUCUAGGGCGUGGACUAC
RNAcentral lists this unclassified non-coding RNA (379 nucleotides) under uncultured bacterium. RNAcentral's name for it is "contains 16S-23S intergenic spacer region". The record is from RNAcentral.